RNAcentral lists this ribosomal RNA (676 nucleotides) under Citrobacter sp. RNAcentral describes it as "bacterial SSU rRNA". It matches the Rfam family "Bacterial small subunit ribosomal RNA", at positions 75 to 748 of the family's 1533-position model. Lineage: Bacteria; Pseudomonadati; Pseudomonadota; Gammaproteobacteria; Enterobacterales; Enterobacteriaceae. The record is from RNAcentral.
CUUGCUCCUUGGGUGACGAGUGGCGGACGGGUGAGUAAUGUCUGGGAAACUGCCCGAUGGAGGGGGAUAACUACUGGAAACGGUAGCUAAUACCGCAUAACGUCGCAAGACCAAAGAGGGGGACCUUCGGGCCUCUUGCCAUCGGAUGUGCCCAGAUGGGAUUAGCUAGUAGGUGGGGUAACGGCUCACCUAGGCGACGAUCCCUAGCUGGUCUGAGAGGAUGACCAGCCACACUGGAACUGAGACACGGUCCAGACUCCUACGGGAGGCAGCAGUGGGGAAUAUUGCACAAUGGGCGCAAGCCUGAUGCAGCCAUGCCGCGUGUAUGAAGAAGGCCUUCGGGUUGUAAAGUACUUUCAGCGAGGAGGAAGGUGUUGUGGUUAAUAACCGCAGNNAUUGACGUUACUCGCAGAAGAAGCACCGGCUAACUCCGUGCCAGCAGCCGCGGUAAUACGGAGGGUGCAAGCGUUAAUCGGAAUUACUGGGCGUAAAGCGCACGCAGGCGGUCUGUCAAGUCGGAUGUGAAAUCCCCGGGCUCAACCUGGGAACUGCAUCCGAAACUGGCAGGCUAGAGUCUUGUAGAGGGGGGUAGAAUUCCAGGUGUAGCGGUGAAAUGCGUAGAGAUCUGGAGGAAUACCGGUGGCGAAGGCGGCCCCCUGGACAAAGACUGACGCUC